This 612-nucleotide ribosomal RNA is filed under the name uncultured bacterium. RNAcentral describes it as "bacterial SSU rRNA". The stretch from base 1 to 526 matches the Rfam family "Bacterial small subunit ribosomal RNA", at positions 338 to 873 of the family's 1533-position model. The record is from RNAcentral.
CCUACGGGAGGCAGCAGUGGGGAAGUAUUGCACAAUGGGCGCAAGCCUGAUGCAGCAACGCCGCGUGAGGGACGACGGCCUUCGGGUUGUAAACCUCUUUUAGUAGGGAAGAAGCGAAAGUGACGGUACCUGCAGAAAAAGCACCGGCUAACUACGUGCCAGCAGCCGCGGUAAUACGUAGGGUGCAAGCGUUAUCCGGAAUUAUUGGGCGUAAAGAGCUCGUAGGCGGUUUGUCGCGUCUGCUGUGAAAACUGGAGGCUCAACCUCCAGCCUGCAGUGGGUACGGGCAAACUAGAGUGCGGUAGGGGAGAUUGGAAUUCCUGGUGUAGCGGUGGAAUGCGCAGAUAUCAGGAGGAACACCGAUGGCGAAGGCAGAUCUCUGGGGCCGUAAACUGACGCUGAGGAGCGAAAGCAUGGGGAGCGAACAGGAUUAGAUACCCUGGUAGUCCAUGCCGUAAACGUUGGGCGCUAGAUGUGGGGACCCAUUCCACGGUUUCCGUGUCGCNGCUACGCAUAGUCGCCCGCCGUCGGGAGGACGGCCGGCGACGGACGUAACUACAACAGAAGUAGUACGGCGUGAGACGUGCCGACGGACGACGACGAGGGAGGAGG